Molecule: ribosomal RNA, 450 nt
Filed under: uncultured organism
Description: partial 16S ribosomal RNA
Rfam family: Bacterial small subunit ribosomal RNA
Source: RNAcentral
ACACUCCUACGGGAGGCAGCAGUGGGGAAUAUUGGACAAUGGGCGCAAGCCUGAUCCAGCCAUGCCGCGUGAGUGAUGAAGGCCCUAGGGUUGUAAAGCUCUUUCACCGGAGAAGAUAAUGACGGUAUCCGGAGAAGAAGCCCCGGCUAACUUCGUGCCAGCAGCUGCGGUAAUACGAAGGGGGCUAGCGUUGUUCGGAAUUACUGGGCGUAAAGCGCACGUAGGCGGAUCGAUCAGUCAGGGGUGAAAUCCCAGGGCUCAACCCUGGAACUGCCUUUGAUACUGUCGAUCUGGAGUAUGGAAGAGGUGAGUGGAAUUCCGAGUGUAGAGGUGAAAUUCGUAGAUAUUCGGAGGAACACCAGUGGCGAAGGCGGCUCACUGGUCCAUUACUGACGCUGAGGUGCGAAAGCGUGGGGAGCAAACAGGAUUAGAAACCCUGGUAGUCCCAUG